Molecule: microRNA, 18 nt
Filed under: Macrophomina phaseolina MS6
Lineage: Eukaryota; Fungi; Ascomycota; Dothideomycetes; Botryosphaeriales; Botryosphaeriaceae
Description: miR-2981
Source: RNAcentral
CCGUGCCGGGCUGGCGGG